UUUAGGUCGACCCGCUGAAUUUAAGCAUAUCAUUAAGCGGAGGAAAAGAAACUAACAAGGAUUCCCUUAGUAGAGGCGAUCGAAGAGGGAAAAGCCCAAAACCGAAUCCUGCGGAGUUAUUCGCUAGGAAAUGUGGUGUUUGGUUCAAUUGCUACGGCACAUUGGAGUUGUUCUAAGUUCACGUGAUUGUGGCUACAGGCCCAAAGAGGGUGUAAGGCCCGUAUGAACAAUACAGUGUGUCCAGGAGUUGUUCCUAGAGUCGGGUUGUUUGGGAAUGCAGCCCAAAUCGGGUGGUAAACUCCAUCCAAGGCUAAAUACAACACGAGUCCGAUAGCGAACAAGUACCMUGAGGGAAAGUUGAAAAGAACUUUGAAGAGAGAGUUCAAUAGUGCGUGAAACCGCUCGGAGGCAAACGGGCAGAGCUGAAGAGAGGUGUGUGUAGUGAGGUUCUGUUCGUGCUGUUCUCUGCAUUUAUGAUCGUUAACUGACAUGGUGCAUUGAGCGUGUUACAGACAUUGCUUUGUUGCGCAUGCCGAACACUAUGGCCGGUAGGUAGAAAGGCCUGGCAUUCAUUGAAGGUGGCUCUGGACUUGUCUGGAGUGUUAUAGCGAUGAAUCAUAGCGCCUUUUGAGUACCGUUAUGCAUUAUAGCCAUUGAGAUUUGACAUGGUCAAUCUUUUGGCGAGUGAAUGUAUUUUAUCAUAAAUUGAUGGCUUGCAUUCUCUAGCCCUAGAUAUGGUCCUCUGUUGGUCUCAUGCUAGCUGUAGUGAAACUGUAGGCAUCUGCCUGACCCGUCUUGAAACACGGACCAAGGAGUUUAGCACAUGCGCGAGUCAUUGGGAAUUACGAAACCUAAAGGCGCAGUGAAGGUAAAGACUUGUUUUAACGCAAGUUAAGGUAGGAUCCUAAGUUCCAAUGUGCGCUUCUGUGUACAUGGACUGGGCGCACUACCAGCUCGUCUCAUGCUUUUUAAGCGAGGCGAAGCAAGAGCGUAUGUGCUGAGACCCGAAAGAUGGUGAACUAUGCUUGUGUAGGCUAAAGCCAGAGGAAACUCUGGUGGAAGGCCGUAGCGAUUCUGACGUGCAAAUCGAUCGUCAAACAUGAGUAUAGGGGCGAAAGACUAAUCGAACCAUCUAGUAGCUGGUUCCCUUCGAAGUUUCCCUCAGGAUAGCUGGCACUCGGGAAACAAGCAGUUUUAUCCGGUAAAGCGAAUGAUUAGCAGUAUUGGGGAUGAAAUGUCCUCAACUGAUUCUCAAACUUUAAAUGGGUGAGAAGCUCUACUCUCUUAAAUAUGGAGUUGAGCAUUGAAUGUGAGUGCCUAGUGGGCCAUUUUUGGUAAGCAGAACUGGCGCUGUGGGAUGAACCAAACGUCUGGUUACGGAGCCAAACAUGACGCUCAUGAGAAACCACAAAAGGUGUUGGUUGAUUUUGACAGCAGGACGGUGGCCAUGGAAGUCGGAAUCCGCUAAGGAGUGUGUAACANCUCACCUGCCGAAUCANCCAGCCCUGNAAAUGGAUGGCGCUGGAGCGUUGGUCCUAUACCAGACCGUUACCGCAAAUAUGCAUUGUAUGUGGUAACGAGUAGAAGGGCGCCGUGGUAAGCAUUGAAGCUUCGGUCGUGAGACUGGGUGGAGCUGCCACGGGUGCAGAUCUUGGUGGUAGUAGCAAAUAUUCAAGUGAGAACCUUGAAGACUGAUGUGGAGAAGGGUUCCAUGUGAACAGCAAA
This 1725-nucleotide ribosomal RNA is filed under the name Kalyptorhynchia gen. n. sp. h YLDG-2020. RNAcentral's name for it is "partial large subunit ribosomal RNA". The record is from RNAcentral. Lineage: Eukaryota; Metazoa; Platyhelminthes; Rhabdocoela.